GAAGACGGCCAUAGUCGGUUGGAAACACCUGUUCCCUUUCCGAACACAGAAGUUAAGCUUCCGACGUUGCUGGUUUUAGUGCCCCGCAAGGCGCGAAUCCCUCAAGCUGUCUUUC
This 115-nucleotide ribosomal RNA is filed under the name Candidatus Pacearchaeota archaeon. Lineage: Archaea; Nanobdellati. The record is from RNAcentral.